AAAAAAGUUUGAAUUUUGCUUCAGGACGAACGCUGGGCGGCGUGCCUAAAUACCUUCAAAGUCGAGCGGACCGGAGGGGAGUUUGCUCCCUUUGGGUACAGCGGCGGGACGGGUUGAGUAAACACGUGGGUACCCUGCCUGUAAAGACUGGGAAUAAUUCCGGGGAAACCGGGGGCUAAUACCCGGAUGCUUGAUUGAACCCCCAUGGUUCAAUCAUAAAAGGGUGGCUUUUCAGCUACCACUUACAGAUGGACCCGCGGCGCAUUAGCUAGUUGGUGAGGUAACGGCUCACCAAGGCGACGAUGCGUAGCCGACCUGAGAGGGUGAUCGGCCACACUGGGACUGAGACACGGCCCAGACUCCUACGGGAGGCAGCAGUAGGGAAUCUUCCGCAAUGGACGAAAGUCUGACGGAGCAACGCCGCGUGAGUGAUGAAGGUUUUCGGAUCGUAAAACUCUGUUGUUAGGGAAGAACAAGUACCGUUCGAAUAGGGCGGUACCUUGACGGUACCUAACCAGAAAGCCACGGCUAACUACGUGCCAGCAGCCGCGGUAAUACGUAGGUGGCAAGCGUUGUCCGGAAUUAUUGGGCGUAAAGCGCGCGCAGGCGGUUUCUUAAGUCUGAUGUGAAAGCCCCCGGCUCAACCGGGGAGGGUCAUUGGAAACUGGGGAACUUGAGUGCAGAAGAGGAGAGUGGAAUUCCACGUGUAGCGGUGAAAUUUUUAGGGAUGUGGAGGAACACCAGUGGCGAAGGCGACUCUCUGGUCUGUAACUGACGCUGAGCCCCUUAAAGCCCUCC
Molecule: ribosomal RNA, 798 nt
Filed under: Bacillus licheniformis
Lineage: Bacteria; Bacillati; Bacillota; Bacilli; Caryophanales; Bacillaceae
Description: bacterial SSU rRNA
Rfam family: Bacterial small subunit ribosomal RNA
Source: RNAcentral